GACGAACGCUGGCGGCGUGCUUAACACAUGCAAGUCCGGGAUAUCCCCGCAAGGGUGACACCGGCGGAAGGGUGAGAAUACAUUCGAACGUGCCCCGAGGUGGGGGAGUAGGCGUGGGAAACUGCGCGUAAUACCCCAUGAGCUCUUCGGAGGAAAGCUUCGGCGCCUUGGGAGCGGCGAAUGUCCUAUCAGGUAGUUGGCGGGGUAAAGGCCCACCAAGCCUAUGACGGGGUAGCAGGUGUGAGAGCACGGCCUGCCACAUCGGGACUGAGACACUGCCCGGACUCCUACGGGAGGCUGCAGUAACGAAUAUUCCGCAAUGCGCGAAAGCGUGACGGAGCGACGCCGCGUGCAGGAUGAAGCGGCUUUGCCGUGUAAACUGCUGUCAGAAGCUACUAACACUGAAGAGCUUCAGAGGAAGGGCCGGCUAAUCCUGUGCC
RNAcentral lists this ribosomal RNA (440 nucleotides) under uncultured bacterium. RNAcentral's name for it is "bacterial SSU rRNA". It matches the Rfam family "Bacterial small subunit ribosomal RNA", at positions 28 to 509 of the family's 1533-position model. The record is from RNAcentral.